AUGGAUGUUCAACCCAGGUCACAGACAAGAUUGGUUGAUCACCAGAUAAGCACAGCUGAGCAGUUGAUAAGUGAUGUUCUUGUAGAGGCUGAUGCUGGCUCAUUUGGCACUAUCUCUAAUUGGAGGUACAAUGCACCGCAACCUAGUGCUGAGCAAUCCUAGAUGCAAAUUGCUAAGAACUGGGUCAUUCCUUUGCAUUUGCCUCCCGGUGAUACUUCAACUGAAAGAACACUGUAUAUUCAUGGUACUGCAGAGCGAAUUGAAAUAGCAAAGCAGCUUGAGUGA
This 285-nucleotide ribosomal RNA is filed under the name Triticum aestivum (bread wheat). RNAcentral's name for it is "partial small subunit ribosomal RNA". The record is from RNAcentral. Lineage: Eukaryota; Viridiplantae; Streptophyta; Magnoliopsida; Poales; Poaceae.